UAUUAUUCCAAGAUGACUUAUAAAUCCUAGGUUAGUAGUAGUUAUUUACUUAAAAGCUAAAAAAUUUGGCGGUAAUUUAAUCUUCUCAGAGGAACUUGUUUUUUAAUCGAUAAUCCUCGAAAUAUCUUGCUUAUUUAAUUAAAAGUUUGUAUACCAUCAUUAUCAGGUAAUUUUUAAAAAAUAAAUUACUAAAAUUAAAUAGUUAAAAAAAUUAGAUCAUGGUGCAGCUAAUGAAUAAGUUAAAAUGAGUUACAAUAAAAUUUUUUAUACGAAUAAAUAAAAGAAUAUUUGUUUAGAAGGUGGAUUUGGUAGUAUCUUGAUUUUAAUAUGGUUAAGAGAUGAUAGCUCUAAAUUAUGUACAUAU
RNAcentral lists this ribosomal RNA (364 nucleotides) under Fabia subquadrata. RNAcentral's name for it is "partial 12S ribosomal RNA". Lineage: Eukaryota; Metazoa; Arthropoda; Malacostraca; Decapoda; Pinnotheridae. The record is from RNAcentral.